UACAGAGGGUGCGAGCGUUAAUCGGAAUUACUGGGCGUAAAGCGUGCGUAGACGGUUAUGUAAGUCGGAUGUGAAAGCCCCGGGCCUAACCUGGGAACUGCAUUCGAGACUGCAUAGCUAGGAUGCGGAAGAGGGAAGUGGAAUUUCCGGUGUAGCGGUGAAAUGCGUAGAUAUCGGAAGGAACAUCAGUGGCGAAAGCGACUUCCUGGUCCAGCAUCGACGUUCAGGCACGAAAGCGUGGGGAGCAAACAGG
This 253-nucleotide ribosomal RNA is filed under the name uncultured bacterium. Its description in RNAcentral is "partial 16S ribosomal RNA". It matches the Rfam family "Bacterial small subunit ribosomal RNA", at positions 524 to 776 of the family's 1533-position model. The record is from RNAcentral.